UCUUUAAUGGAGAGUUUGAUCCUGGCUCAGGACGAACGCUGGCGGCGUGCCUAAUACAUGCAAGUCGAGCGGGGUUAAUUAGAAGCUUGCUUCUAAUU
This 98-nucleotide ribosomal RNA is filed under the name Paenibacillus polymyxa. RNAcentral's name for it is "partial 16S ribosomal RNA". It matches the Rfam family "Bacterial small subunit ribosomal RNA", at positions 1 to 91 of the family's 1533-position model. Lineage: Bacteria; Bacillati; Bacillota; Bacilli; Caryophanales; Paenibacillaceae. The record is from RNAcentral.